GUUCACCUACGGGGCGCAGCAGUCGGGAAUAUUGCGCAAUGGAGGAAACUCUGACGCAGUGACGCCGCGUAUAGGAAGAAGGUUUUCGGAUUGUAAACUAUUGUCGUUAGGGAAGAUACAAGACAGUACCUAAGGAGGAAGCCCCGGCUAACUAUGUGCCAGCAGCCGCGGUAAUACGUAGGUGGCAAGCGUUGUCCGGAUUUAUUGGGCGUAAAGCGAGUGCAGGCGGUUCAAUAAGUCUGAUGUGAAA
This 250-nucleotide ribosomal RNA is filed under the name uncultured bacterium. RNAcentral's name for it is "partial 16S ribosomal RNA". It matches the Rfam family "Bacterial small subunit ribosomal RNA", at positions 333 to 599 of the family's 1533-position model. The record is from RNAcentral.